UCACUAAUAUCCAGCAACAUAAAAGUAGUUCAUCCACAAUGAUUGAAAUCCAAAGAAGAAGUAGAAAAUAACAAAUCUAUGCUUGACUUCACGUUGGAAUUCUCUCAAAGUGUAAACCCUAGUUCUCUGUUAUGAAAAACACGUAAAAACUAAAGAUAACCGCGUCUGGGGCCAACCAUAAUCGUUUUAAACCAACCCAAAC
This 202-nucleotide long non-coding RNA is filed under the name Panax ginseng (ginseng). Its description in RNAcentral is "long non-coding RNA (PGIN_LNC016333)". Lineage: Eukaryota; Viridiplantae; Streptophyta; Magnoliopsida; Apiales; Araliaceae. The record is from RNAcentral.